AUGGUAGUGGGAACCGAUGAUGCGGCGAGCCAGAGGUGGACGACGCAAGAAAAUUCCACAACCAUGAUGCAUGCUGGAACCGACCAUGGAGAGAUGGAAUCGCAACAGAAGAUGGAGCUCACCUGCAUCCAUGUUGCAAAUUCCCGUCAGCCGCGCGGCGAAAGGCCGCAGUGUUGUAACUGGAGGUUGAGGGAGGAGGGGGAAGAGAGAGUCGUGCGCGCGCGUUUCUACGUAUCUCAUCUAACGGUCAGGGUUAGACCGGCCCAAAGUUUGGGCUGGCUGGCCGGCGGAGAAUUCAGCCCGAAAUAAAAAGGGACAUAGAUGUCUUUCAUAAAUCUCUCCCUAAUAAUAAAGCGGUUAGGGCUGCUGGUCGAACGUCGUCGGUGGUUUUUCGAAAACGCCCCUCCGUUACUUUGAAAUAAACCCGCAAUCCUGUUUAAGUGGAUCUGAUAAAACCGUUUUCACAGAAAACACCCUGCCGCAUUUGCCCGUGUCCGCCGCCACCGACCGCACACCGUGCCUCCACGCGCGGGCGGCUCGCGCUCGUGCCUCCCUGCCGCCCCGCGCCGCCGCCCACCGGAGCUCCGCCGCCGGAACAACGCGCCGCCAUGCCCUCCUCUCCUUCUUCCUUCCCCUCCCUCCUGUUCUAUUUCUCACAUCCCCCUCUCUCUCUCCUUCGCAGGAAGCGGAAGCCAUGGCCCUGGACCUCCAUGCUGGACCGCCGACCCGCGCCGGCCGGCCAUCGGAGCGCCGCCGCUGGACCAACACGCCGCCCUGCCCUCCUCUCCUUCUUCCCUCCCUUCCCUCUGGUUAUAUUUCUCACAUCCCCCUCUCUCUCCCCUUCAAAGGAAGCGGAAGCCAUGGCCGUUGGACCUCCAACUGGACCGCCACCCCAUGCCGGCCGGCCACCGGAGCGCCGCCGUCGGACCAACGCGGGUUGCCGCGCUGGACCGCAGCCUGGACGAAACUCCGGCGAGGCCAUGAGCUCCCGAGUCCCAACCCGGGCUUAGGAGCGUACGGGAGCGCCGUCGUGGAUCAUGCGCGUCCUAGGUCCGCCGAGGCCACGGGCUCCCAAGCCGGGCAUAGGUGCGUACUGGAGCAACGCCCGCCUGGGCGAGGUCCUCCUGCUUCUGGAGAGUUCAUAUGUCUCUUCCUACCGGAGCGUUCGUAAUACUUUGCCUGAUUCUAUUAUGGAUUACCCAUUUACAAGUUGACGUACUUUAUUAAUUUGGUGUCAUAUUAACUACACCGGAUUCUGUUCUUGUGCAAAGGAAAUUUGAUUGGGAUUGACCGCACAUCUUAAAUGCAUCUAGAAAAUUAACCACACAUAGAUUUCACUCUUAUCGCCCUUUUAUUCAAUACAUUUUGAUUGCCGAAAUUUGAAACAAUGACCAGGUUCUGUAGGAAGCACAAGAAAGUGGGUAUGAAAGCUAUGAGACGAUGGCCAAUACAGAUAUUGACAGGGCUGGAAGUCCGGAGCCAACGAAUAUACAUAGCGACUUAAAGUGUGACAAUAUAUUCAUAAAUAGUCCUGAUGGAACAGUGAAGAAUGGCGACUAUAUGGUCUGGCGACAUUAUUGCAUCAAUGGAAAAAGCAAAGUGUCAAAGGCGCAUUAGACUUUAUGGCACCAGAACGCUUCACUGGCAAUUACAAUGAGUUGGGUAUUCCAACCCCCUUGCUGAACCCUGUGCUAUUCGCAGCCUCUUCUGUCAAUCCAGCAGCACACCGCUGCCCUUCGCAUCCUCCCUGCAUCACUGCGACUGGGCCGUGCUCACAUUGUCCGCUGUCACAUGCGCAAUCUCUGCACUCGACGCUGCCUCCACCGAGAUUCAUUGCAAGGUCUGUUCGUAGCCACGGUUCUUGCUCCGUACCAUUGUUGAUGCUCCUGUUAAAGGAGCAUCAGUUUUACGCAUGCUUCCUGGGUCCUUGGUGAGAGGCCUCUGUGAUGUUAUUCUUUUAGGUAAGCUUUACUCAGGUUGCUACUCAUGUCACAGUGUCUGUAAUUUAGCCAGAGUCAGGUUCAGAGUUGUUGACUGAAUUUUUUGGGCACAACCAUCAAGCAACCUGAGUAAAGCUUACCUAAGCCAAUGAUUUUGUUCUAUUAGCUAGAGCCAGGUUCAGAUUUGUUCACUCUGGAUUUUUUGGGCACAACCAUCAAGCAAGCUAGGACGUAUUGUUUAACUGAAGCAAAGGGCAGGUAAGCUAUGAAUGCUUCAUUCUUCGUUCUGAACAAAUGCAGCUACUAUUUGUAUUUGAUCUGAGCAAAGGUGCAACCAAUUGAAGUUAUUUUGAAGAACCUGCACCUGAGUCUAUAUGUUCUGAUUUUAUAGCCUGCAGAGUCUGUAGAGUAAAGUUUGUACAUUUUGUGAAUCGCUUUGUUCCGGUUUCCCCUGGUGGUCUAUACUGUAUCAGGUUAUUUACUAUGUGCAGAUUUGUUUGUGCCAUUGCCGAUCAUGUACUUCUUUCUGUGCUUGGAAGCAUAGUCUCAUCGUAUCCCCUAGAUCUGUAUAAGUAUAUUUAGCUCACAUACACUUGGCAUUUGUUCUUCAAAAGGCGCCACUCCGUGUCCUCUCGCCCUGCACGAUCUUCCCUAAAGGCCACGAGAUCAACAUCAAAGAGCUGUGUGGACUUUAAGAUGUCCUCGAUGCUGGACUCCUGGUAACAGUUUAUUACAUGUUAUUUCUUUUUCUUUUUUGGUGAGUCUUUUCUUGAGAUUUAGGAUUAUGGAGUUAACGGGUGUUACUUUUGACCUGCUAAUACCUCUGCGUUAAACUUUUUGCUCUUCGAAAGCAACUAUGUAAGUCUGACGCUAACAUAAUGUUUACUGCUAUAAUACUUCAGUUUAACUUAGAGUCAGGAACACAAGUAGAAUUUCAUAGAAAUCUGUCUAGCUCCUGUAGAUGAAAGACUUCCUGCAAGUGAGCUCUUGAAUAACUCUUACCUCCAGGAAGAUGAGGUCUAUUCCAGCGCCUCCAAUUUUAGUCUCUCUGGUCUCAAGUGUGACUGAAGAUGGGUGGCAAUCUGCAAGUUUCGUGCUUUGGAAGGGCUGUUUAAAGAAUGCUGAGUUGUCAAGCGAGGUGCUGCAGUGGCUGGCGUUGCCGGGCAUGGGACGACGUCCCUAGGCUCCUGCCUGAGGCAAGCCUCUCUGGCCUCCUCGGAUGCCCUCUAGGAACUGGCACUGCGUAUGAUGGCCUCCUCACCUAGCACCUAGGUUGACCUAGCCACCGCCAUCGAAGCGGAGAGUUGACAACAUAUGUAUGAUUGUUGGACGUGUCAGUCCUGCUCAGUCCUGCCAUUGGCAUGUUCAAAACUAUGAAUUGAGUGACUACAAAUAUGGUUUGAUCAAUGAAAUGAAAGGAUGUUC
Triticum aestivum (bread wheat) is the source of this 3365-nucleotide long non-coding RNA. RefSeq lists it as uncharacterized. The record is from RefSeq and is a predicted model, not a curated record. The transcript is spliced from 3 exons. Lineage: Eukaryota; Viridiplantae; Streptophyta; Magnoliopsida; Poales; Poaceae.